CAUAGUGAUUUGUAGGAUCGGUA
RNAcentral lists this non-coding RNA (23 nucleotides) under Arabidopsis thaliana (thale cress). The record is from RNAcentral. Lineage: Eukaryota; Viridiplantae; Streptophyta; Magnoliopsida; Brassicales; Brassicaceae.